RNAcentral lists this ribosomal RNA (279 nucleotides) under uncultured bacterium. RNAcentral's name for it is "partial 16S ribosomal RNA". It matches the Rfam family "Bacterial small subunit ribosomal RNA", at positions 506 to 784 of the family's 1533-position model. The record is from RNAcentral.
UGCCAGCCGCCGCGGUAAUACGGAGGAUCCAAGCGUUAUCCGGAAUCAUUGGGUUUAAAGGGUCCGCAGGCGGACGUAUAAGUCAGUGGUGAAAUCCUGCAGCUUAACUGCAGAACUGCCAUUGAUACUGUACGUCUUGAAUUCGGUCGAAGUGGGCGGAAUGUGUCAUGUAGCGGUGAAAUGCAUAGAUAUGACACAGAACACUGAUAGCGAAGGCAGCUCACUAGGCCUGGAUUGACGCUCAGGGACGAAAGCGUGGGUAGCGAACAGGAUUAGAUA